AUGGGGUGCAUCUCCUCCAAGGUGCUGAGCAGGUCGGGGAGCCUGCGGGGGAAGGCCGGCCAGGGGCUCCAGAGGAGCAGCCUGGUCGAGGAGAUCAUCCUCUCCAACUCCAAGAGGAACGGCGACCAGUUCCUCGCCCUCCUCCGCACCUCCAGCUCCGCCGCCAGGACGAGCAAGGUCGACGCCGCCGAGCAGAUCGAGACGAUCAACGUGUCUGACCUUCUCGCCGGGCUGGAGGAGGAGAACGCACCGGAAGGCGCCGAGGAGCGGGGCGAUGAUCGGAAACCAGACGGCGGCAAAGCUUCGUCGCCUCGGUGCGCAUACGAUGGCGCCGCCGGAAGGGCGGUCAGCUUCCGCACCCUGGAGGAGUUCGACGCGCUGGUGUCGCGGUGCGGCUCGCCGGUGAAAGCGGAGCCUGCACCAGCACCAGCACCUGAGCCAGACGCGUCCGUGGAGCCGCCGCCGCAGAGCAGCUCCACGGAGCAAGACGCGAUAGCCACAGCGAGCAGCGGUCCGGAACUAGGGGAGGCGCCCGGCGGCGCGAAGAGGCGGGCGAGGGCGAGGCAGCUCGGAGAGCUGAGCGCGACGCCGGGCUUCGACUUCAGGAAGUCCGGCAGCCUGAGGGACUGGCUGCUCGGCGGCGGGCAGAUGUUCUCGCCGGGCUCCUACGUCACGCCCAAGUUCGGCAGCGUGGCGACGGCACCGCCCGAGUCCGCAGAGCACGCGGAGCGCGCGGUGUUUGAUCCGGAGCUGGUGGCGCAGCUGGAGGAGGCCAUGGAGGAGCUCUCGGUGGACGAGGAGCGCGUGCUGAGGGAGGUCUUGGAGGUAAUCGAAGCCGGAGAAACACAGAGGUUGGAGAGGCGACAUGCCCAGGAGCCGGAAGUGUUGGCGGUGAUUGUGCAUGAUUAG
This 909-nucleotide ribosomal RNA is filed under the name Triticum aestivum (bread wheat). Its description in RNAcentral is "partial small subunit ribosomal RNA". Lineage: Eukaryota; Viridiplantae; Streptophyta; Magnoliopsida; Poales; Poaceae. The record is from RNAcentral.